Molecule: long non-coding RNA, 544 nt
Organism: Dreissena polymorpha
Lineage: Eukaryota; Metazoa; Mollusca; Bivalvia; Myida; Dreissenidae
Exons: 2
Source: RefSeq, a predicted model, not a curated record
AUCAAUUUAUUAACCAGGUUUUCCGAAGGAAAAAACUGGUUAUUAGAUUGGCGAAUGCGGGCGGGCUGGCUGGCUGGCGGGCUGGCGGAAUAAGCUUGUCCGGGCCAUAACUAUGUCGUUCAUUGUCAGAUUUUAAAAUCAUUUGGCACAUUUGUUCACCAUCAUUGGACGGUGUGUCGCGCGAAAUAAUUACGUCGAUAUCUCCAAGGUCAAGGUCACACUUUGAGUUCAAAGGUCAAAAAUGGCCAUAAAUGAGCUUGUCCGAGCCAUAACUAUGUCGUUCAUCGUCAGAUUUUAAAAUCAUUUGGCACAUUUGUUCACCAUCAUUGGACGGUGUGUCGCGCGAAAUAAUUACGUCGAUAUCUCCAAGGUCAAGGUCACACUUUGAGUUCAAAGGUCAAAAAUGGCCAUAAAUGAGCUUGUCCGGGCCAUAACUAUGUCGUUCAUCGUCAGAUUUUAAAAUCAUUCGGCACAUUUGUUCACCAUCAUUGGACGGUGUGUCGCGCGAAAUAAUUACGUCGAUAUCUCCAAGGUCAAGGUCACA